UACGGGAGGCAGCAGUGGGGAAUAUUGGGCAAUGGGCGAAAGCCUGACCCAGCAACGCCGCAUGAANGAAGAAGGUCUUCGGAUUGUAAACUUCUUUUAUGAGGGACGAANGACGAGACGGUACCUCNUGAAUAAUCCACGGCUAACUACGUGCCAGCACCCGCGGUAAU
RNAcentral lists this ribosomal RNA (170 nucleotides) under uncultured rumen bacterium. RNAcentral describes it as "partial 16S ribosomal RNA". It matches the Rfam family "Bacterial small subunit ribosomal RNA", at positions 340 to 524 of the family's 1533-position model. The record is from RNAcentral.